RNAcentral lists this ribosomal RNA (496 nucleotides) under uncultured bacterium. Its description in RNAcentral is "partial 16S ribosomal RNA". It matches the Rfam family "Bacterial small subunit ribosomal RNA", at positions 29 to 507 of the family's 1533-position model. The record is from RNAcentral.
AUGAACGCUGGCGGCGUGCCUAAUACAUGCAAGUCGAGCGAACAGACGAGGAGCUUGCUCCUCUGACGUUAGCGGCGGACGGGUGAGUAACCCGUGGAUAACCUACCUAUAAGACUGGGAUAACUUCGGGAAACCGGAGCUAAUACCGGAUAAUAUAUUGAACCGCAUGGUUCAAUAGUGAAAGACGGUUUUGCUGUCACUUAUAGAUGGAUCCGCGCCGCAUUAGCUAGUUGGUAAGGUAACGGCUUACCAAGGCAACGAUGCGUAGCCGACCUGAGAGGGUGAUCGGCCACACGGGAACUGAGACACGGUCCAGACUCCUACGGGAGGCAGCAGUAGGGAAUCUUCCGCAAUGGGCGAAAGCCUGACGGAGCAACGCCGCGUGAGUGAUGAAGGUCUUCGGAUCGUAAAACUCUGUUAUUAGGGAAGAACAAAUGUGUAAGUAACUAUGCACGUCUUGACGGUACCUAAUCAGAAAGCCACGGCUAACUACGUG